GACGAACGCUGGCGGCGUGCUUAACACAUGCAAGUCGAACGGAAAGGCCCUGCUUUUGUGGGGUGCUCGAGUGGCGAACGGGUGAGUAACACGUGGGUAACCUGCCCUUGACUUUGGGAUAACUUCAGGAAACUUGGGCUAAUACCGGAUAGGAGCUCCUGCUGCUUGGUGGGGGUUGGAAAGUUUCGGCGGUUGGGGAUGGACUCGCGGCUUAUCAGCUUGUUGGUGGGGUAGUGGCUUACCAAGGCUUUGACGGGUAGCCGGCCUGAGAGGGGGACCGGCCAAAUUGGGACUGAGAUAAGGCCCAGACCCCUCCGGGAGGCAGAAGUGGGGAAGAUUGCACAAUGGGCGGAAGCCUGAUGCAGCCAAGCCGCGUGCGGGAAGACGGCCUUCGGGUUGUAAACCGCUUUCGCCUGUGACGAAGCGUGAGUGACGGUAAUGGGUAAAGAAGCACCGGCUAACUACGUG
Molecule: ribosomal RNA, 468 nt
Filed under: uncultured bacterium
Lineage: Bacteria
Description: partial 16S ribosomal RNA
Rfam family: Bacterial small subunit ribosomal RNA
Source: RNAcentral